This is a long non-coding RNA of Polistes canadensis, 186 nucleotides long. RefSeq lists it as uncharacterized. The transcript has 3 exons. The record is from RefSeq and is a predicted model, not a curated record. Lineage: Eukaryota; Metazoa; Arthropoda; Insecta; Hymenoptera; Vespidae.
CGUAGCCCGGUGGUACUCUGAAACGUGAAUACAAUAGUUGCAAUUAUCAUAGAACGCGAUUGCCAGCGAAUGAAAAAGGGGAUGGAAGGAAACAAUAUUGGAAAAGGAAAGCGCAAAAGGAAGCGAAUCCUGUUUCGCAGAGACAGCCCUGAACUUUUUAACGGAUCGAUAACGGCUAGUGUCCAG